Molecule: long non-coding RNA, 533 nt
Organism: Biomphalaria glabrata
Lineage: Eukaryota; Metazoa; Mollusca; Gastropoda; Planorbidae
Exons: 2
Source: RefSeq, a predicted model, not a curated record
GCACUAAUACACAGUAAAUAGUCACCAUAGCGAGACUUCAAAGAAAGCGCGCAAACUAAUUGCCAUUUCAUUGUCUUUUUCUACUGUGAUUAUUUUAAUAUUAUAAAGACCAGAAAAGGUAUAUAAACGCUUUUAGUUCCUGCUUAGUGGGUAGUAUUAAAGUGACUACUGACUUCACCGAUAUACCCGUAUUUACACAGACAUCAAGAAAACUUCAUCAAUUGCAUCAGUUACCAGCUAAAGAUUCAAUACGAGAGUUUAAGAAUGUUGAAGCAUUUUGGUUCAGUCUUGUUGGCUGCCUUGGUUUUACUGUAUGCGGUAUCUAUGAUAGCGUCGGAUUCUGACUCCAACCCCUUUUGUGAAUUGGCGUGCCAAUUUGUCUGCGCUAACAGCACCGAUCCUCUUUGCCAGAGAAGUUGUGAGGCAGGUUGUGGCAGUGGCAGUUCUGGAGAUUGAUUCGUUUUUGCAAUCACAUGAAGCUCCCACUACUUUUCCAGAUAAAUGAAUUAAAAGAAUAAAUUUCAUGAAACAAU